GUGGGAGGGCACGCUGUCGUUCUGAGCCUGCGCGUGCCGAGCCGCCCUUCGUCCCCAUGGCAACGGCUGGUGGGGGUCCGGGAUUUUGGAAUGAGAACAUAUUUGAAUAUUUUCUUAAAAAUAACCAGAUUAAAUCAGAAGAUGGAGCUGAAAUCAUCUGGUAUCAUGCAGCUAACCAUAAGUCACAAAUGAAGGAGGCAGUAAAAAGUAGUGCUCACAUGAUUGAGGCAGAUAUUCUUCUUUCCUGUGAUGAAUCAGAACACAGACAACCCAUAAUGGCUCAUCCUCCUGAAAUAAGCAGUGAUAAUACUCUUCAGGAAUGGCUAAAUGAAGUUUUAAAAACUAACAAAGGUAUCAAACUUGACUUUAAAAGUCUGGAAGCAGUGAAACCAUCCAUGAUACUUCUGGAAAAUGUUAAGAUGCAUCUGAAUCGUCCUGUGUGGAUUAAUGCUGACAUACUUCCUGGUCCCAAUGGAAAAAAUGUUGAGUUGGAUGCAAAGAAAUUCCUAGAUACUGUGACAUCCUUUUUCCAACAUGUGACUUUAUCUCUGGGCUGGACUACUGGAUGGUACCCUAAUCAACUCAAUGAAGGCUACAGUUGGACAAUGGUAAAAAAUAUGGAAUAUAUAUGUAAUAAACUAAAUCAGCCUGUAACAUUUCCUGUCAGAGCAGCAUUAGUUAAGCAAUCUUAUGAUCAGUUGCUUUGGCUGGUACAGCAAUCACAUAGGGAGAAUGAUCUUUGGAUAGGAAAGGCUAAAACAAAAAUGGUUAACAGAGAAUUGAAAAACAGAUAAGUAAAAAGAUAGAAAUCAAGCACUCAGUUGCCUUCAAUUAGUUUAAGCCAUCAUACAAGUAAUAAUUACUUCUCAAAACAUUGAAAGGACUAAUCUGUGUAACUGCUGAGCCAUUGUCAAUGAUCUUUGAAAGAUUGUGGAGAAUGGGAGAGAUAUCAAAGGACUGGAGAGGAGCAAAGAUCUUGACUCUUUAAUGGCAAAAAAAGGUACAGUCUGACUAUUUGGACAGGAAAAGAUGAUAUAUACCCCACUGAAGAUUUGCUCUUUGUCAGAGAACAUUUUGGGAAAAAGCAAGUUUUCUAUGAUAUCUUAGAGUCACAAAACCAAGAAUUCAAACAAACUAUUGG
Sarcophilus harrisii (Tasmanian devil) is the source of this 1141-nucleotide RNA transcript. It is a transcript of the gene named family with sequence similarity 151 member B, with no coding region annotated. Lineage: Eukaryota; Metazoa; Chordata; Mammalia; Dasyuromorphia; Dasyuridae. The record is from RefSeq and is a predicted model, not a curated record. The transcript is spliced from 7 exons.